This 452-nucleotide long non-coding RNA is filed under the name Elaeis guineensis (African oil palm). Its description in RNAcentral is "long non-coding RNA (EGUI_LNC060661)". The record is from RNAcentral. Lineage: Eukaryota; Viridiplantae; Streptophyta; Magnoliopsida; Arecales; Arecaceae.
UGUCUACAUUUCACUGUUGCCCAGUCACCUCUCUGACUUGAUCGUCGGAGGGUCCCCGCCGGAGCCGCCUCCGGUCAGUGCGGACUUCCUUUUGCAGGUGCACGCUUCCCGGCGAUCGGACGACGAGGCGAUUGGCCGCAACAGAUUGGCGCGCCAGGAAGGGGGCAGCAUGACUAGGACAAGAGCUCAACGAUUGAGAGUCACUGGGUCGGCCAGGCGCUCUUCCCGCCGGGAAAAGGCCUCUCCACCACCACCGGCGGCGGAGCCUAGCUCUCCGCGCCCUGCAGUGACCACGGAGGCCCAGAUUGCGGCCAUCAUACGGCAGAUGACCGUACUGACCGAUGCAGUCAAAAGCCUCCAGCAGCAACCGGCGGCCCGACCUAUGCCUUCCAGGAGCAGCCGCCGACGACCGCGCCGAUCCCCGUCGCCUCCAUGCGAGCGCUCCCAACAGC